Molecule: ribosomal RNA, 761 nt
Filed under: uncultured bacterium
Lineage: Bacteria
Description: bacterial SSU rRNA
Rfam family: Bacterial small subunit ribosomal RNA
Source: RNAcentral
ACAAGUGGCGGACGGGUGAGUAAUGUCUGGGAAACUGCCUGAUGGAGGGGGAUAACUACUGGAAACGGUAGCUAAUACCGUAUAACGUCGCAAGACCAAAGAGGGGGACCUUCGGGCCUCUUGCCAUCGGAUGUGCCCAGAUGGGAUUAGCUAGUAGGUGGGGUAACGGCUCACCUAGGCGACGAUCCCUAGCUGGUCUGAGAGGAUGACCAGCCACACUGGAACUGAGACACGGUCCAGACUCCUACGGGAGGCAGCAGUGGGGAAUAUUGCACAAUGGGCGCAAGCCUGAUGCAGCCAUGCCGCGUGUAUGAAGAAGGCCUUCGGGUUGUAAAGUACUUUCAGCGGGGAGGAAGGCGAUAAGGUUAAUAACCUUGUCGAUUGACGUUACCCGCAGAAGAAGCACCGGCUAACUCCGUGCCAGCAGCCGCGGUAAUACGGAGGGUGCAAGCGUUAAUCGGAAUUACUGGGCGUAAAGCGCACGCAGGCGGUCUGUCAAGUCGGAUGUGAAAUCCCCGGGCUCAACCUGGGAACUGCAUUCGAAACUGGCAGGCUAGAGUCUUGUAGAGGGGGGUAGAAUUCCAGGGGUAGCGGCGAAAUGCGUAGAGAUCUGGAGGAAUACCCGGUGGCGAAGGCGGCCCCCUGGACAAAGACUGGCGCUCAAGUGCGAAAGGCGUGGGGAGCAAAACAGGGAUUAGAUUACCCUGGUAGUCCACGCCGUAAACGAUGUCGCACUUGGAAGGUUUGUGGCCCUUGAGGCG